Molecule: ribosomal RNA, 492 nt
Filed under: uncultured bacterium
Lineage: Bacteria
Description: partial 16S ribosomal RNA
Rfam family: Bacterial small subunit ribosomal RNA
Source: RNAcentral
AGUGAACGCUGGCGGUAGGCCUAACACAUGCAAGUCGAACGGCAGCACAGUAAGAGCUUGCUCUUACGGGUGGCGAGUGGCGGACGGGUGAGGAAUACAUCGGAAUCUACUUUUUCGUGGGGGAUAACGUAGGGAAACUUACGCUAAUACCGCAUACGACCUACGGGUGAAAGCAGGGGAUCUUCGGACCUUGCGCGAUUGAAUGAGCCGAUGUCGGAUUAGCUAGUUGGCGGGGUAAAGGCCCACCAAGGCGACGAUCCGUAGCUGGUCUGAGAGGAUGGUCAGCCACACGGGAACUGAGACACGGUCCAGACGCCUACGGGAGGCAGCAGUGGGGAAUAGUGGACAAAGGGCGCAAGCAUGAUCCAGCCAUACCGCGUGGGUGAAGAAGGCCUUCGGGUUGUAAAGCCCUUUUGUGGGGAAAGAAAAGCAGCAGGUUAAUACCCCGCUGUUCUGACGGUACCCAAAGAAUAAGCACCGGCUAACUUCGUG